This 5055-nucleotide unclassified non-coding RNA is filed under the name Neodiprion pinetum (white pine sawfly). Its description in RNAcentral is "high affinity choline transporter 1". Lineage: Eukaryota; Metazoa; Arthropoda; Insecta; Hymenoptera; Diprionidae. The record is from RNAcentral.
GCGAAUGGAUCAAUACGGCGGUUCCCCAGCACGUGGAUCCAGCCCCUCGACGGUCCAGCGCGGAUGCUGGGCCAGAUAUUCAGUCGUACGAUUCUCGUUUCACGGCGACGUUUUCGCAGGGUUCAUCCUCAACUCGUGUACCAGAUCACGUUUCGCUUCGGGUUCACGUUGAACUUUGAGACGAUAUUCCAAUACACAGGAUGAUGAUACCAAUCUGAAUCAAGCUGGAUGCAAGUUGAAACGGGCAGAAGCUGACUCCGUGGAAGACUGGAAGAUGGGAAUCUACGUGGCAGGGGUCGCUGGGGUGGCCGUAUUCUACGCCGCUGUUCUCGGCGUUGGUGUCUGGGCAGCGACGGUGAAGAAGAACAAGAUGCAGAGAGGGCAGGACGACAUGCUGCUGGCGAACAGAGGCCUCGGUCUCUUCCUCGGAGUGCUGACUCUUAUCGCAACGUGGGUCGGUGGUGGUUUCAUCAAUGGAACUGCGGAGGCGAUGUUCACCAGAGGAUUGGCUUGGUGUCAAGUACCAAUUGGUUACAGUCUGAGCCUACUAUUCGGCGCCCUGCUAUUUGUGAAGCCGAUGAGGAACGCCGAGUACGUAACAAUGCUCGACCCGUUUCAACAACGAUACGGUGCUCGAGUGGGAGGACUUCUCUUCCUGCCGGCUCUUUGCGGCGAUCUUUUUUGGUGCGGAGCGGUACUCAGUGCCCUGGGCAGCUCCCUUUCCGUCGUUGCUGGAAUCGACUCCAACGUCAGCAUCUGUGCCUCUGCUCUGCUAGCCGCAGUGUACACGGUUUGCGGUGGUCUGUAUUCCGUCGCUUGCACGGACGCCUUGCAGCUCGCUUGCAUAACUCUUGGUCUGGCGGUUGCCGCCCCGUUUGCCGUAAUGCACUCGGCAGUCUCAUUGGAGAAGAAUCUACCGACGAAAGACUGGCUUGGCGAAAUUAGAGAAGAAGAUAUGGGCGAAUGGAUCGACGGCAUGUUGCUCCUCGUCUUCGGUGGAAUUCCAUGGCAGGGUUACUUUCAACGCAUCCUGAGCAUCAAGAGCACAACGGUAGCGAGAACCUUGUCGAUCGUCUCGAUGAUCGGGUGCCUCACGCUUGCGGUACCAUCUGGGCUCUUGGGUCUGGUGGCCAAAGCGACGGAUUGGACAUUGGUGGAAGGUUUCAAUCGUACCAUAACGCAGGAGGAUGGAAACGUGGUUUUACCGUUGGUCCUGCGUUACUUGACACCUCAGUGGGUCUCCUUCAUAGGCCUGGGCGCUGUUUCGGCCGCCGUCAUGUCUUCCGCCGACUCGAGUAUAUUGGCUAGCAGCUCAAUGUUCGCAAGAAACAUAUAUCGAUUAACGAUCAGGCCCAAGGCGACAGAAAAAGAGCUUGCUUGGGUUCUCCGUAUCGCUGUUUUGGUCGUGUCAGGUUUAUCAGCUGCCGUCGCUAUGACGGUCGGCAGCGUUUAUUACCUUUCCUAUCUCUGCUCGGAUCUCGUUUACGUCGUUUUGUUCCCGCAACUCCUCGCCGUCGUACAUUGGCCCAACUGUGUCGACACGUACGGAUGUCUCUUUGGAUACCUCGUGGCUGUCGUACUACGAGUUUCCGGGGGAGAGAAGGGAUUGGGUAUACCACCGCUCAUCGAGUAUCCAUUUUACAACUCCGCAACACAGACUCAAAAGUUUCCGUUCCGGACUGCAGCGAUGAUUUGCGCAAUGAUAUCGCAGAUUUUCGUCAGUUUUUUCACCAAAAAUUUACUCGGCAGAGGGUACUUUCCAAGGUGCUGUGACGUCUUGGGUGUUUAUUCACCGGGAAAACCAUCCAAACAGAGCGGUGUUGUUCAGAGCAGUUCUGGUGCCGCGCUAAUUGACGCCGUCAUUACCGAACCACCGAAUGGGUCAGAGCAUGCAGAAAAUCGUCAUGAGAUGCAGAAAUACGACGCAAAUCGAUCGGUCCGUGAUGAAGACGCGCAGCACUACGAGACCGUGAAUGAUAUGUACGAGAAGCCGGAGGAACCGAAAUCAGAUUUUGUUAUUCAAAACGCGAACAAAAAUUUGCAAAAUUUGCAAAGCAUCAUGCAGUCUCCGGAGGCCAAUCAAACUUCCGUCACUUCUUCUAGUCAGAAUAAUUACUUUGGUGAUCAAAUACUGACGGUUAGAAAUUUAACCGCAAAUUCGGCGAGUGUUAGUCGAGCUCCAGUCACGCAUGGCAGUAACUCGGUAAAGGAUCAGAACAAGAACACCAAGAGUAAACCCGUGGCAUCCAGCACGUCGGUGAACAACGUGGUUUACGCGAAACCUUCGAACAUCGACAGAGGCAAAAAGAAUGACAAAAUUGCCGACAAGUCAAUGAUGGAACUCAACCUUAACAACGACUCCAGUGUGGGGAAGAAAAACAUCAAAGGUGUAAAGCUGAUUGGUAUGGAGGGAGGUACUCUGAGGAGACCGUCGUUGCAGGGAACAUUCUCUCCCACUCCUUCCGUGGAAUUGGUUCAUAUAUUGGACAGAAGACAGAGCAACACUUCUUACGGUCCGAGCUCACUGUCUCCAGUCCCAGGGGUUGAGGCUUGCAGGACUCACGGGACAGCGGUUGAUGGUCAGGUCGGGAACGAGCAUUGUAGAAUCAAGAGAGGCAUCGUCAGGCACCACAGCUUCAACGAGACCGGGGACAGAGCCUUGACCACGCUUGCAAGACAGCCGAAUUAUCCCUCGAUGCCGUUGAGACCGGAGGACUGUCGCCUGACGUUGAUCAAGAGGGAUAACAAAGCUGGUGCAAUCGUUCGCCAUUCGUCUGUAGUCGAUGAAAAAGAUUCGGGCGAGGGUCUGGUUGUCAGUCCAACUUACAAGAUGUACGCUUCGACGGGAAAGACUGGAAAUUAUUUCGUUACCGACGAUGAAGCUGUAAGCAGGUUCUAGACGGGAGUGGCAUCAGGAUCGCGUUUCAAAGCUCCUUUAAUCUAAUCAACUGAUGAGAAAAGGAUGCAAGCACGAGCGUAUAAAAAAAUGUUCGAACAGUUUCUUUUUGACGAAUGAUGAUCUUCCGCAGCAUUUCCGUGUAAAUAUAUGUAGUCGUAGAUACGAGAAGUUUUUGUUGGGUUAGAUAUUUAAUGUACCGCAAUACGUGGCAAUUGAUAAUGAAUAUUAUUCGCGAACUAUCGAUUUACCAUUUAUUUUGAUGUAAUAUUAAAUGUUGGCAAGGAAUGAAUAAUCGAUGAUAUAACCUUAAAGGUACUCGUAUUUAUGGGAACGAAUAAAUACACACAAAAAUAUUACAUAGCGAAACGUCCAAACGUGCAAAUUCAUGAUAAUCCAAUGAAAUGAUAUUUUUGCACCAGUAGCUAACUAGUUAUAAAUAAUAUCUAGGAAUACAAUUCGUGUAUAUUUAAUCCUUACAACAACAGCAACAAUAAUAACGAAGUAAAUAGUAUUAUGAAUAACGCAAUUCUUAAAAAGUAUAGUGGCCUGACGACCGUAUAAAACCUAAGCAACGUAUGAAUAUGACAACAAAAAACACGGUACGAUGAAAGUAACGGUGAAUAUUUGUUAUAUUAAAUAAUAAGAAUCAAGAAAAGGUGGGAAAAAAUUUACAAACAUGUUCAUAUUAUCAGUAUACUAUAAGAAAUUUUUACAAAGACUGAUUAUGAAAUGAGAAAUUACAUUUUGAUGUCCCCAAUUUUACGCUGGAUGAAACCGAGCAGUUGGAUACUUGGAGAGUUUUAUUCGUCAACUGAGCAAAAAUCUGUUGACUUACGGCAAUUGCGACCAAAAAACAGGCUGCUAUAGUGUUUACUAAACGUUUAUCGUAAAUUUACUUUGAAUACCUAUAAUACACACCAAUUAAGAAGGAACUUCUACCAACACUCGUGUAUCUGAUAAGGAUAUUUUACGCAAUUAAUAAUUUUGUAAAGUUAUAAGUAACAUCUAGUACCUAUAUCAGUAUUAUUACUAACUAACUAAUGGUAAACUAAGAAAUAGAGAACCAUGGCAAAACUUUUCAAUAGUCAAUUUUACGAACUGUACGUAUCUGUAAUAUAGAAAUGAAAACAUUCAACGACUUAGUCAACUCCGUGUGAAAAUUGACUGUUAGUAGUUACUAAUUACUUUGAGAGAGAAUUGUAGAAGCAGUUUAUCAUUACGUGAAAACGAAUUUUUCUAACGAUUAUCAGUCAUCUGUAUGUGCCAGGGAAAUUUUUCGUUUCUGAAUAUUAGUUGCAUUAUAAUUUGUAGGAUUAGAUCAUAUGUACUUGAGUGAUGGUAAUUGAUAUGCAAUGACGAUUGUAUGUAGGCCUAGAUUAAUAUUAUAAUAAUGAUGUGAACAUUGUCUGAUAUUAAAAUUAUCUUUUCAAUUUCGAUUAUGACAACAUGAAUGAGGUUGUAUACUGUGAAUUAUGUGCCAAAUACAUAUAAUGGUCCUUCAAACAUAGGAGAAUGUAUAAUUCCAUGUAGAUAUAGGUAAGUCUACUCAAGUGGUAACCACUAGCUAUUAAGUUGAUGUCUCAAGAUUUCAAAUGAAAAUAAUCAACUGAAAAACUUUGUUUUUCAAUAUUCGUUAUGUUAAAAAUUCGUGUAGGAAACAUUGAUAACGAAAAUUUACUUUUUCUCGAACACCUGCAUCGUAGCAUUUUAAAUUAUCAAAGUGUCUGAAUGAUUGUUUGCUUUUAUUAUUAGUUAGCCGAAGUUAUACAUUGUUUCGAAUAAGAAAUAACUCGAAUUCUAAGGUAAUUAAUCACAACACUUUAACAGUAAGUCGAUAUUUGUGUAUAAAAAACGUUAAUUAUGUGUGCAUGUGUUCAAAAAUACGAAACACACAUCUUGUGACUGCGAUGUAGAGAAAUUCCAGUACAAUAAAAAAAAAAAAAAAACUGGAUAAUUAGGUGUGUUUAAAGUAAGUCGAAAAGGUAGAUACGAAUAAUAGGUAAAAUAUUAGUUGAAAUUUGAUACCUUGAUACUUUCACACCACAUAAAGCGUGAUUUGGUACACAAGAAUUGCAUGUGACUUCAGUGAACGUGAAUCAACUUGUAGAAAUCCCAUCAAAUCUAGUAAUAAGAACAAUAAAUCCGAUGAAAAUUCA